UACAGAGGAUGCAAGCGUUAUCCGGAAUGAUUGGGCGUAAAGCGUCUGUAGGUGGCUUUUUAAGUCCGCCGUCAAAUCCCAGGGCUCAACUCUGGACAGGCGGUGGAAACUACCAAGCUGGAGUACGGUAGGGGCAGAGGGAAUUUCCGGUGGAGCGGUGAAAUGCGUAGAUAUCAUUUGGAACGCCAAUGGCGAAAGCAGGCAACUGGGGCUGUACCGACGCUGAGACACGAAAGCCAGGGGAGCGAACGGG
This 253-nucleotide ribosomal RNA is filed under the name uncultured bacterium. Its description in RNAcentral is "partial 16S ribosomal RNA". It matches the Rfam family "Bacterial small subunit ribosomal RNA", at positions 524 to 776 of the family's 1533-position model. The record is from RNAcentral.